RNAcentral lists this long non-coding RNA (589 nucleotides) under Homo sapiens (human). RNAcentral's name for it is "non-protein coding lnc-HOXB8-1:14". Lineage: Eukaryota; Metazoa; Chordata; Mammalia; Primates; Hominidae. The record is from RNAcentral.
AGACCUCUUGCUGGCUGCCACAUCGGCACUGCCAACCGGUGGGGUGCAGCCCUGCUGAAGCCCCAGAGCUCAGCCCAGUGCUGGGCACAUAGUAGGCGCUCAGGAAAUGAUUGCUGAAUGUGGAAUGAAAGUCCCCAGCAGGCAAAAGGCUGUGACUUCUGUUAGUGGGGUGGUGGUCCUCUGGGGCGAGUGUAUGGAGAACUUCAAGGCCUCCUCCUGGCUGCCCAGGAAGUAGUGUCUUCUUUUGCAAGCUGGGGGAGGGGUUUAAAGAUGCUGGCGCUGCCCUCUAGCCGGCUGCUGGGGACAUCAAAGGAGAUUCGGGCUGUGGAAGGCUCCCUAGCGUCGGAGAUGGAGUUAGGAGAGGGCGCCAAAGGCGACGUGCCGGCCGCCAGCUCCAGGCCGAGCCCCGAGCGCCUGCAGGAACACGCCCCUUCACCCGGCGCGGGACGCAGAGCUGCGAGAGAAUCUUGUUCAGCGCGGACUCAACGCCAGGGCGCCGCCUAGAGGUUGGUCUCUGUCUCGGCCUCACCCGCCGGGAGACCACAGAGCUGCUUCCCCAGCCGCCCGCCGCCAGAAAUUGGAAAAAAAA